RNAcentral lists this long non-coding RNA (10685 nucleotides) under Lactuca sativa (garden lettuce). RNAcentral's name for it is "long non-coding RNA (LSAT_LNC001374)". The record is from RNAcentral. Lineage: Eukaryota; Viridiplantae; Streptophyta; Magnoliopsida; Asterales; Asteraceae.
CUUCUCGAUAACUCGUAUGCAUGCAUUUUGUUUGAUAGUGGAGCGGAAAGGAGUUUUGUGAGUCACGACUUUAAAGGCAUGCUAAAACCAAUACCACAAUCAUUAAGUGAACCAUUCAUAGUAGAAAUGGCCAACGGGAAAACCGAAGGCACUAAGGAGAUAUAUUUAAACUGCACCCUAACUCUAAACGAUAAUCUCUUUCAAAUCAACCUCAUGCCAGUCUCGAUUAAGAGUUUCGAUGUCAUCAUUGGCAUGGAUUGGCUGAGUUCACAUCGUGCGGACAUUCUAUGUUACGAUAAGGCCGUUCGCCUUAAUCUGCCAACCGGCGAAACCUUCCUUGUCUUGGGCGACAAACCUAGUACCACUCUUAGUAUCAUCUCAAGUAUCCAAGCUCAGAAGCACUUACGAAAGGAGUGUCACGCAUUUCUUGCACAUGUUGUAGACGUGAAACGCGAAGUCCGGGACAUCAAGGAUGUGCCCGACGUAUGCGAUUUUCCCGAUGUAUUUCCCGAGGACCUUCCAGGGAUACCACCCGUAAGACAAGUCGAAUUCAGAAUCGAUCUGAUUCCCGGAGCUACCCCAGUAGCCAAAGCACCCUAUCGAUUAGCCCCGGCAGAGAUGCAGGAGCUAUCCAGUCAACUGAAUGAACUACUGGGAAAAGGAUUCAUCAGACCGAGCUUCUCACCAUGGGGAGCACCCGUGUUGUUUGUGAAAAAGAAAGAUGGAUCGUUCAGAAUGUGCAUCGACUACAGAGAACUCAACAAACUGACGGUCAAGAAUCGUUAUCCUCUACCGCGCAUAGAUGAUCUAUUCGACCAACUGCAAGGGGCGAACUAUUUUUCUAAGAUUGAUCUGAGGUCCGGGUAUCACCAGUUACGAGUGCUAGAGGAGGAUGUGCCGAAGACCGCCUUCCGAACUCGUUACGGACAUUACGAGUUCGUGGUGAUGCCAUUCGGAUUGACCAAUGCGCCCGCAGUCUUCAUGGAUCUGAUGAAUAGAGUAUGCCGACCUUACUUGGAUCAGUUCGUCAUCGUUUUCAUUGACGACAUCCUGAUCUACUCCCGAAGUAAGAAAGAGCAUGGCGAUCAUCUGCGACAAGUUCUAGGGAUAUUACGAAAAGAGAAACUUUAUGCGAAGUUCUCGAAAUGUGAAUUUUGGAUCCGAAGAGUCGAAUUCUUAGGACACGUGGUAAGCGAAGAGGGAAUCCACGUGGACCCAUCCAAAAUUAAGGCCAUUGAGAACUGGUCAGCACCGAAGACUCCUACAGAAAUUCGUCAAUUUCUAGGUCUCGCUGGCUACUACCGCAGGUUCAUUCAGAACUUCUCACGAAUAGCGAAGCCUCUUACAACCCUAACCCAGAAAGGUGUGGCCUUUGACUGGGAAGAGAAACAAGAAAGAGCGUUCCAAACGCUCAAACGAGCCUUGUGCACCGCACCAAUACUAUCCCUUCCCGAAGGAAUAGAAGACUUCGUAGUUUAUUGCGAUGCAUCAAACCAAGGACUCGGAUGUGUUCUGAUGCAGCGAGGUAAGGUCAUCGCCUACGCCUCGAGACAGUUGAAAACACAUGAGGUUAACUACACGACCCACGAUCUUGAGCUAGGAGCAGUAGUGUUUGCCCUGAAGAUCUGGAGACAUUACUUGUAUGGAACGAAGAGCACUAUCUUUACCGACCACAAGAGCUUACAACACAUUUUCGAUCAGAAGGAGCUCAACAUGAGACAACGGCGAUGGGUCGAGCUACUCAGUGAUUACGAAUGCGAUAUUCGCUAUCAUCCGGGAAAGGCAAACGUCGUAGCCGAUGCCCUUAGUCGAAAGGAGUACUCAGGCCGGAGAGUGAAGUCAUUAGCUAUGUCGAUCCAUUCGCACCUAUCAACGCAAGUCAAGGAAGCUCAAUUAGAGGCCUUGAAACCCGAAAACGUGGCAGGUGAGGCCCUUAGGGGAAUGGACAAGAACUUAGAAAUCAAGAGUGACGGAGCACGCUACCUCAUGAACCGGAUCUGGACACCAAAGUUUGGGGGAUUCAGAGAGGUAGUUAUGAGCGAGGCACACAGGACCCCAUACUCCGUACACCCAGGGUCAGACAAGAUGUAUCUAGAUCUCAAGCAACUCUACUGGUGGCCAAACAUGAAAGCGGAGAUCGCUACGUAUGUGGGCAAGUGUUUAACUUGCGCCAAAAUAAAAAUAGAACACCAAAAACCCUCAGGCCUACUCCAACAACCUGAAAUACCUGAGUGGAAAUGGGAGCAGAUUUCCAUGGACUUCAUAACCAAACUGCCCAAAACUCAGAGUGGCCAAGAUACUAUUUGGGUAAUCGUCGACAGAUUAACCAAGUCAGCCCAUUUCUUACCUAUCAAGGAAACCGAUAGGAUGGAAAAACUAUCAAGAACCUACAUCCGGGAGAUCGUACGACUUCAUGGAGUACCAAUGUCCAUCAUCUCAGAUAGAGACAGCAGGUUCACUUCCAGAUUUUGGCAAUCACUGCAAAAAUCCAUGGGAACAAGGUUGGACAUGAGUACAGCAUACCACCCUCAAACUGACGGACAGAGUGAGAGGACGAUCCAAACCUUGGAAGACAUGUUGCGAGCAUGUGUAAUCGACUUUGGCAAGGCAUGGGAUAUUCACUUGCCUUUGGUCGAGUUCUCUUAUAACAAUAGUUAUCAUACUAGUAUCAAGACCGCUCCGUUCGAAGCCCUUUACGGCCGUAAGUGCAGAUCACCCCUGUGCUGGACGGAAGUGGGCGACACCCAAUUGGCAAAAGGUCUAGUCACUAAAAGCACCCUUACUGGUCCAGAGAUCAUCAGAGAAACUACCGAAAAGAUCGUGCAAAUACGAGAACGACUGAAGUCCUCAAGGGAUAGGCAAAAGAGCUAUGCCGACAGGAGACGUAAACCCUUGGAAUUCCAGAUUGGCGACCGUGUGCUACUGAAGGUCUCACCCUGGAAAGGCGUGAUACGCUUUGGGAAGCGUGGAAAGCUAAAUCCCAGGUACAUUGGACCCUUCGAAAUCAUUUCGAGAGUUGGUCCAGUGGCCUACAAACUCCAACUUCCAAUCGAGCUUAACAAAGUGCAUCCAGUAUUCCACGUGUCGAACCUGAAAAAGUGUUUGUCCGACGAAACACUUGUAAUUCCACUCGAUGAAAUCGCGUUAAACGAAAAUCUCAACUUUGUGGAAGAACCCGUCGAGAUCAUGGAUAGGGAAGUUAAAAGGACCAAGCAGAGUCGCAUUCCAAUAGUAAAAGUUCGAUGGAAUGCUAAGAGAGGACCCGAAUUCACAUGGGAACGGGAAGACCAAAUGCUACAGAAGUAUCCGCAUCUCUUCCUCAGCCCCUAAAACUCUUACCUUGUAUUAAAUUUCGGGACGAAAUUCCGUUUAACGGGGGGAUGAUGUAACAACCCGUUAUCCCGGGCAUUAUAAACCGAGUCUUGUAACCCCUUUUGAAUGUAAUGGGAAUAUCAUCGAUAAAUGAAUUGUUCAAAAGCUCUGAUUUGGAGUACGCUAUGUAGUAGAUAUCGUCUUAAAGGUUCCAAAUAAAUAAAGAAACACUAAAAUCUGAGUUAUGGCGAAGAAGCUAUGACCAUUCUAAGAUUUCUGUCAAAACCGACAACACCGAUCAAACGAAAAACGCAAAGUUUCAAUACGAUAACAUUUAGCCUUAGGUAUCUAAAUGAAAGUCAUAGAUAACAUUAAACCGUGAGCGUACACAAAAAGAACGUCCAAAUCUGACUUCGCAUGAGGAAGUUAUGAUUUUUCAAAGAAAUUCCUUAAAAACGAUUAGUUAUAAAAUAAAUAAUAAAAAUAAUUUUGGAAUUUGCCAACGGAGUCUAAACGAAAGUUGUAGAUCGUAGUCUCACCUACGCGUGGAUAUAAAGACCAUCGAAAACGGAGUUCGUAUGAAGAAGAUAUGGAUUUUUGAAGUUUAUUAAAUAAAUUAAUUAUUUAUUUAAUUCAAAAUUCGGAUAUUAUCCGAAGAGGAGUCAGCGUCCUUCUCCGAAGUACGCGCUGCGUACUCCUGUACGCCCCGCGUAACCGAGAGGAUUGGCCUCGGAUCGUCCACGUCGCCAUAUCCGAGGAAGCCGACCCGUCCGACCCGUCCGACCCGACGUCCCAUCCGACCCGGCGUCCCAUCCGACCCACCUCCCCAGCAACCCGUCCCAUCCGACCCGAGAACCCAAGAACCCGUCCCAUCCGAACCGAGGCAGUCGAGGCUUCGGUCAUGCAUGACGUACGCGUACGCAGCGCGUACGAGCGUACGCCCCGCGUACCGAGGCAGACCUGCCUUCCUAUAAAUAGAAUGCGAGGGUUUCCAAAGAAAGGGUUCAUUUCUCUUCUCUCUCUCUCAGCAUUUCCUCGUUUUCCGUGUCCGUUCAAACCCGAAGCUCUGGUCUUUUUGGCUCAAGUCCCGAAGGCCGAUUCUACUCCCGAGAUUCCCGAGAAUCCCAAGAAAAAUCAGUUUCCCGAGACGAAACUCUGCUCGGUUUUCCACCUCACAAUCUUCAAACUAUCAAGUGAGUUCAUAUCCCCUUUGAACACUCUUUAAAUACAUUUUAAAUGUUUUAUACUCUUUUUGGGGAGGAAUACAAGUUAACACAUGACUAAAUUCGUGUGAAACAUUAACCUUUUGAUAUACUUUUCAUACUGUUGUUUUAACUAUCUUGUGAAGUUAUUAUGAUACAAAACCCCUCACAACACAGCUUUACCCUCUUUGGGAUAUAAUAUGUUUAUAAAUAGAAAUAUGUUUUAUUUAUACGUUUACAUACAAACACAUCAUAUCAAGGGUAACAUUCUUUACUAAGUCAUUUCAUGCAUUCAAAGAACUUAUGAUUAUGCUUUGUCAAACAUUGUGAAAGAGGUUAAACUUUGCAUACAAACUACUACCUUAUUACGGACUUAGUUGAGAAUCCAUGAGUCGUGUAUAUCUUCAAACGUUACUUUCUUUAUUAGAAAAUAAUGCUACAAGUCCUGUCUAUAACCAGAGUCUCCCGUUCGGAGAACGUGUCAAAUGUGUAUAGAUCUAUACGGGAAGUCAUGAUCCCGCGCCCUGACUGUUAGCUACAGUCCGUCUUUUGGGGUGACAGUUGUCAUAACGCUACGACGCCUGAAGAACGUCGCUACAGGCAUAUUAUGUUUAGUAUGGUUAUAAAACUCAUCGGAUACACAACUAUUAUAGUACUUCUGAUUGAUGAACGAGUAGCUAUUAAAACUAUUCUUUAUCUAACAAACUUAAAUCUUCUGAUAGGUUUAUUAUAUAAAUCUAUGUUUAAAAUCUUCUAAAGCAUGUGGAUUGCUUCCAAUUUUUAGUCUUGGACAUUAAACAAACUAUUACUUUAGGAAAAUAUGGGAUUUUCCUGUAUACAAACCAAACAACUAUUAGGAAAAUAAGGGAUUUUCUUGGUUCAACUAGCUACAUUUUUCAACACAAAUACUCUCAUGCAUUUCAUACUUUUAUAAGAAAAUAAGGGAUUUUCUUGGAAAAUAUACACUCAUUUUGGAAUGGCAUUCAAUGUUUCUAAAUCACUUAUGAACUCACCAACUUAAUUGUUGACACAUUUUCUUUGAAAUAACUUGUAUUCUCAAGGAACCGUUAAGCAGGUUUGGAAAUCAACUUUUGGGGAUUAACGCGUUGGCGUUAAUUAUUUCUUUUGAAAGAUGUUUAUGAAUUUAUCUUUUGAGCAUGUAAUGAAUACAAUGAUGUAAACAUUUUUAAAACCUUUAUAUAUGUAUCGUGGUGUGUACUUUCCUUUCUAUGAACUGUUAUGAUACUGAAUAUGACGUCCUCCGCCCCCGAACAUUUCCGCCGUUCUGGUUUGGGGGUGUGACAUUAAGGGUUAGAUCUAUGAUUUGGCUAAGCAGAUCUGACCUUAGGAGGUUGUUUGAGCAAGUCCAUGGAGGAAACUCGCCGAGUCCAUAUGUUGACUCGACAAGUCGAACCAGGUUGCCACGCGGUCUGACUCCAGUGGUGACCCGAUGAGUUGAGGGGUGACUCAGUAAGUCGAGUGAGGCUUAGAAAGGGAAGGGUUGUAGGGACGAUGGGACUCGCCGAGUCGUCGUAUGCACUCGGCGAGUCUGGUCAAAAUGGACAGUUGAUUUUUGGUUGACUUUUAGGGUUUGUCAACAAAUGGGCCUUUGGGCCUGUAGAGGGGUAGAAUGGUCUUUUACCCUUCUAGGGAUUUGCAUGAGAGAAUAUCUAAUUUGUGAAGAGACAUUUAUUUAGUGUAAUUUAUUAUUGUGACUAGGCGGAGGCUAGGGCAGUAUUCUGAUAUCGAGGUUUUACCGAGAUUCCCGAGGUGAGUCUUCUCACUAGACUUUACCUAGAGUGAUAACUAGAGCUAUGUGAGAGUGUGUCAUGUAUGCUAUUUAUGUGUUGUGAUUUCUAUGUGAUAUGUGAUAUGCAUGAUUCAGAGUUUACAGAGUUAGGACCAGUGGGUCCACAGAGUUAUGGGGCCAAGAGGGUCCCACGGAGAUAUUCGACCAGAGGGUCAUCAGAGUUGCAGCCUAGAGUGGCUGAUAUGUGUUUAUGUGGUAUUUUGGGGAACUCAAUAAGCAUUUAUGCUUACAGAGUUUUGUGUAUGUGUUUCAGGUACCAGUGAUAAUCGCGGAAGGCGCCGGCAUGAUCUAUACACACUCAUGGAGCUUUUGUUUCUAUGAUUCUAGGAUAUGUUUUACUAUGAUGACAGUGGAUACAUUAUGUUUAAUAUUAUUUUAUGAAUGAAAGUAUGUUUUAAAAUUGUGAAAUUUUUUUGGGUGUUACACGGAUAUAGUCAUCACAUUAAUUGUUGUUGUGUUCUAGAUUAGCAUGUUUAAGCCAUGAAUAAUGUUAUUAUUCUAAAAGUUCAUAGUCGGUUAUAAUUGUGGGAGAAAUUAUGAAGUAAGACUAAUAUGAAUUGGAUUGGUUGACUCUCACUAGAUGAAAGUAGGCAAGUGGUUGUAACCAAGUUUCAUAGGUACUUUUCAGAGAACUAGUAUUGAAUUCACUCACAUCAAGAUCAUCUCAUGGAUCGCAAUCGUGAAUGAUACUUGAUUAAAAGGUACUGUCUUUGUAUCCUUAACUCAUGAGAUACAUAGUGGGACUUAAGUGUAGUGUCACACUCCCAAACUGAAACGGCGGAAACGUUUGGGGAUGGAGGACGUCAUGUAUAGUAUCACAACAAUUGAAUAACAGUAAUCAAACCAACAACAACCAUUGUAUUAAUACUAUAGUGUUUACAUUACAUUUGAAUCAUACACGAUUGACUCCAAAAGUAAAUACAAGUAAAGACUCAAAGCUACUAUGCUCCGUCUUCUUGAAUCCGUGUGUGUACCUGUCUACUAAUGUCUUGAGAAUACAAGUAGGUUUUGAAAGAGUAUCAGCAUAAAGCUGGUGAGUUCAUAAGCAUUUUGUAUUGGAAAAACUGUUCUUUGUUCUUUUGAAAAGUGCGUUAUGUUUCUCCAGAAAACCUUAUAUUUUUUGAUGUAAUUAAUGUAUAAGCCUUAAGGAAAAAUGUUUCUUACCAGUUCCUCCUGCGGGUAUUUAGUGUACACAAAUCAUAUACAAUCCAGAUCGAUUGUGUGGUUUUGCCCCAAGCCCACAACCAAACAAGGAACAGGAAAUGAGGCGGAGGCCACACAUUCCACUGACUGUCGCAUCCUCUUGUACAUUAUCCUGAAGUAUUCACUAGAUACUUACAGAGUUAACUGUAUUGGUCCUUUGAUAUCUGUUGAAAGUGUUCCUCAAGAAAAUCCAAUAUUUUCUUAUGAAAAGCAUAAUUAACCCAUUCCUUCUAUGACUACUUAGUUCAUACUAGUUACGUAUAAACCAAUAUCGGAUAGACAGUUAAUUGUGUGGAUCUACCCUAAACCCACAGCCAAACAAGGAACAGGGAAUGAGGCGGAAACCACACAUUCAACGGUCUAUCAGAUAUUCCCAUACGUAACCCAGAUGCACAAACUAAGGAGUCAUGGAAUUAAUAAUGAAUGUUUGUUAGUUGAAUAAUGAACCAUCCGUUUGUAAAGUAUUGAUGUUUAUCCUGGAAAAUCCUAUAUUUUCCCUAAGUGUAAGUUGUUGAAUUAUCUGUUCCAAAAUCAUAAAGUACAAGUAUCUACCAUACUUAUGUUCUUUAAGGAUUGUUCUAUAUGAAAAACAUUAUAUGAAAACCCUUGUAUGAAAACCUAUGUACGAAAACCCUGGCUACCACUAGUAAUGUAUAGUAGUCGUAUUACAUAAAUAAAACUAACUGAAAACAUCUUGUCCUGUAAACUGAAUGUGUUAUUAGUACCCUCCUAUGACCACCUAGUACAUACGAGUUAUAGAAAUCUAGAUCGAACAAACAGUCGAUUGGGUGAUUCUGCCCUGAGCCCACAACCAAACAAGGAACAGGAAAUGAGGCGGAGAUCACACAUCCCACUGCAUGUUGUUCUGAUCUGUGAAGGGUGUGUAGGUUUAGCUUGCUCAACUAUGUCCACCCAAUUGGUAGGAUGUGCAUUCGUAGAUCCGAGUAGCUUUUGUCCUGAAGUUCAUGGUAGGACUCAUACCUAGUCCAUCUAUCAUUGUCUCAAGUACACAUGUCGUAUAUAAUUAAGAUUGAUAAGACGGUCGCAUGGGUGACUUUGCCCCUGGUCCACAACCGGACAAGGAACAGUAGAUAGGGCGGAAACACACAUCCUAAGUCCAUAGAAUCUUAAUUAUAUACCACCCUCGCGUGUACAUUUAACAUCGAUAGGCUAACUGUAUAUGUCCCUAGACUCUGUGCUUGAACUUGACUUGUUGCGCGAGUGGUGUUUCCAAAAUGGUCUGCUGAGGGUGCUUAAGGAAGGUUACGGGUGGAUACCAUACUCCUUGCAUGAGUAUUUUGGAGGUUUGAAGCGAGAUGAAAUUUCGAGUUUCGCAUCUAGUUUGUCGUUAUGAGUGGCGAGAGUUUUGUUAUUCGGUCGGUUUAAGGCAAAGGGUCUCCUCGGUGACACGUGGGUUUGGUAUAACGUAGACUCAUUCAGACUAAGCGGGAUGACAACGUAGGAUCACGUGUUAAGUUAGUUUGUAAGGAGCGUUUCGUUAUGGCGUCAGUGUAUCUUUGUGUGUACAUUUCUAGCGCUUUCUGUAUUGACCUUGUUAUCACUUAUGCGAAUGUUUUGUACUGUAUUAAGUGUACUAACUGAGAAAUUGUUCUAGUGAAUGAUACUUGAUAUUAUGAUCUGUGACAACCCGAAAUUUCCAUUUGGUCAAACCCUAAAAGUCAACCACUUCGUAUCAUAAGUUAAUGUUAUUAUUUCUUAUUUUUUUGAAAUAUAAAGUUCGUUUGAUUAUUUUAAUAUUAUUUUUAAACGAACGAGUGAAAGAAAGUGUCGUCUCGGGUUUUAAAUUUCAAAAACCGCAAACACCUCGCGUCUUAGAAAUUCCCGACCAAACUUUUAUGUUUGUGUUGAAAAUUCACCCAAAAACCGUAAACUCAUACCUAUGUAUGAGUUUACUCCCCAAAAGUCUAGUUAAUUGUGUUUACUCCCCAAGUUCACAAAAGAGUAAACUCCAAGAACUCUUUCAAGUAUCAUCCUAGUUUUUAUUCCAAACCUUCAAUCUUGUAAGUGUUCUAACCAUUUUAAGUUACUAAAACACUUAAUCUAGUGUUUAUACAUCUAAUCAUCCACUCAUAUGUGUAUUUUCGAUUAAAAGCUUCGACAUUAUCAUCGGCAUGGAUUGGUUAAGCCUUCAUCGCGCCGACAUCAUGUGCUACGAGAAAGCAGUCCGUCUAAACCUCCCGUCUAACGAAACUCUUAUCAUCUAUGACGACAAACCCGGUGCGAGUCUUCGUAUUAUAUCAAGUAUUCCAGCACGGAAGUAUUUACGUAAAGAAUACCAUGCAUUCCUUGCUCACGUCAUCGAUACGAGCCUCGCAACGAAAGAACUAAAGAACAUUCCAGUAGUGAGCGAAUUUCCCGACAUCUUCCCAGAAGAGCUACCAGGAUUACCUCCGCAACGACAGGUCGAGUUCAUAAUCGACUUAGUCCCAGGAGCUANAGUCCCAGGAGCUACCCCAGUAGCCAAGUCGCCCUACCGUUUAGCACCAGCCGAGAUGCAAGAACUCUCUGGUCAACUUAACGAACUGCUCAGCAAGGGCUUUAUAAGACCAAGUUUCUCGCCUUGGGGAGCACCGAUCUUGUUCGUUAAGAAGAAAGACGGAUCAUUCCGUAUGUGUAUCGACUACAGAGAACUCAACAAACUAACAGUCAAAAAUCGUUAUCCUCUGCCUCGCAUAGAAGAUCAAUUUGACCAACUGCAAGGGGCGAACUACUUUUCCAAAAUUGAUCUAAGAUCCGGAUAUCACCAGUUACGAGUGCUAGAGGGGGAUGUUCUGAAGAUAGCCUUCCGAACUCGUUACGAACACUACAAGUUCGUGGUGAUGCCAUUCGGAUUGACCAAUGCGCCCGCAGUCUUCAUGGAUCUGAUGAAUAGAGUAUGCCGACCUUACUUGGAUCAGUUCGUCAUCGUUUUCAUUGACGACAUCCUNNNNNNNNNNNNNNNNNCGAAGUAAGGAAGAGCAUGGCGAUCACCUGCGACAAGUUCUAGGAACCUUACGAACGGAGAAGCUCUAUGCGAAGUUCUCUAAAUGUGAAUUUUGGAUCCGAAGAGUCGAAUUCUUAGGACACGUGGUAAGCGAAGAGGGAAUCCACGUGGACCCAUCCAAAAUUAAGGCCAUUGAGAACUGGUCAGCACCGAA